This is a long non-coding RNA of Dicentrarchus labrax (European seabass), 2470 nucleotides long. RefSeq lists it as uncharacterized. Lineage: Eukaryota; Metazoa; Chordata; Actinopteri; Moronidae. The transcript is spliced from 3 exons. The record is from RefSeq and is a predicted model, not a curated record.
UAUUAUUGUGCCUUGCAUAAGCAAGCACAAUACUACUCUUCCUCGGGCUUAUUAUUGUGCCUUGCAUAAGCAAGCACAAUACUACUCUCCCUCGUGCUUAUUAUUAUUAAACUUAUUAUUAUUCUUCCGUACGUUUUUCGGCGCGCUUCUUCUCCCAGAGCUUUUGUCGCACAUACACAAAAAAGGUAUCAAAACGUGCGGCUCGGCCGGGAAUGGUGUGCUAUGACUUUUCUAAGAAUUUCGCCAAACGGUUUGCCGGUAAAUCGCCAAAAACCGGUCCAAAAAAUGAAUGGGUGUGUAUUGCGAGAACCUCCAACUGAAAAAAACCGCCAGAGUGCGUGACAUCAUCGCUAGAGUGUGGGGAGAGAGAAAAAUUUGUCGAAAAAUAAAUUUGUAAACUGCUGUCAUGGCCACAAAUUUCACUCUACAGAAAUAAUUUAUAGAUAGAAACGUAGGUAAAUUCGUUGGGGUCGCAGUGAUACUACUGCUGAAGCUGUCAGACAAAUAGUUUUGGCGGGAAACGCACUGAUGCGCCAGCAACGCCCUCUCACGGCCCCAUCUACUCCCAUGUUAAUUUUAGAGGAGGAAUCUUGAAAAACGCUCGUUGAACCUCUUCUCUCUCAAUCUCCCCAGGUCACAUUUUUUAACUUUAGCCACUGAAACUCGGCAACGCUAUAGUCAACAAGAUGACGACGCCCACGGUGUUUUCGGUUUUCAUUUCGGUCGUUCCUGGCCAUGCUUUUGAGGGGAUUCGUUUUAAUUGUUUUCUGUCUCUCUCAAGAGUUAGAGACAGAGAGAGAGCGCGCGCAGCUGCUGUGGGCUCCCCUGAUUGCCAUGACAACUAAAGCCUGCUCACACACACACACACACACACACACACACACACAGCUAGCUACAGAGAAUGACAAGGCAUUAAUAAGCUAGCGCUAGCUGGCUAGCUAAGGACAAUUAGCAGGUGGCUAACAAGCAAACAAUUUAAAGCUGAAUGAUUUUAAUAUUAACACAAAAUAAGAACAAUACACCUUAAAUAUUUUACCCUACUAUGAGCUGUUCCUUAAUUUACAUUAGCACUCCUUCAGGAGCAUAAUACAAUUAAACACAUUAACCACAGCUAGCACUUAGCUAGCGAUUAGCGGUUAGCUAGUGAUUAGCAUGUAGCUAGCGAUUAGCGGUUAGCUAGCGAUUAGCACGUAGCUAAGCGCUAGCUUUGGUUUAUGUGUUUAUGUGUGCUAGCUCUAGCUAGCUAGCUAAAGAGAAUGACAUGAUAUUAAUAUGCUAGCGCUAGCUAAGGAGGAUGACAGGUUAUCAAUAUGCUAUAGGGAGGAUUACAUGGCAUUAAUAAUCUAGCGCUAGCUGGCUAGCUAAAGAUAAUUAGCAGGUGGCUAACAAGCAAACAAUUUAAAGCUGAAUGAUUUUAAUAUUAACACAAAAUAAGAACAAUACACCUUAAAUAUUUUACCCUACUAUGAGCUGUUCCUUAAUUUACAUUAGCACUCCUUCAGGAGCAUAAUACAAUUAAACACAUUAACCAAAGCUAGCACUUAGCUAGCGAUUAGCGGUUAGCACUUAGCUAGCGAUUAGCGGUUAGCACUCAGCUAGCGAUUAGCGCACAGCUAGCGAUUAGCGGUUAGCACGUAGACAUGGUAUUAACAUAUGGGCCAGAGCAAGGCACAAUCAAAAUUGCUUUAGGAAUUUUCUAGUUAUAUUUUAUUCUUCCGUACGUUUUUCGGCGCGCUACUCCUCCCGGAGCUUUUGUCGCACGUACACAAGAAAGGUAUCAAAACGUGCGGCUCGGCCGGGAAUCGAGUGCUAUGACUUUUCUAAGAAUUUCGCCAAACGGUUUGCCGGUAAAUCGCCAAAAACCGGUCAAAAAAAUGAAUGGGUGUGUAUUGCGAGAACCUCCAACUGAAAAAAACUGCCAGAGUGCGUGACAUCAUCGCUAGAGUGUGGGGAGAAGGGAAAAAUUUGUCGAAAAAUAAAUUUGUAAACUGCUGUCAUGGCCACAAAUUUCACUCUACCGAAAUAAUUUAUAGAUAGAAACGUAGGUAAAUCCGUUGGGGUCGCAGUGAUACUACUGCUGAAGCUGUCAGACAAAUAGUUUUGGCGGGAGACGCACUGAUGCGCCAGCAACACCCUCUCACGGCCCCAUCUACUCCCAUGUUAAUUUUAGAGGACAAAUCUUGAAAAACGCUCGUUGAACCUCUUCUCUCUCAAUCUCCCCAGGUCACAUUUUUUAACUUUAACCACUGAAACUCGGCAGUGCUAUAGUCAACAAGAUGACGACGCUCACGGUCUUUUCGGUUUUCAUUUCGGUCGUUCCUGGCCAUGCUUUUGAGGGGAUUCGUUUUAAUUGUUUUCUGUCUCUCUGAGGAGUUAGAGACAGAGAGAGCGUGCGCAGCUGCUGUGGGCUCCCCUGAUUGCCAUGACAACCAAAGCCUGCUCACACACACACACACACACACAGCUAGCU